UCCGUAGGUGGAUAAUUAAGUCAGAGGUGAAAGUUUGCAGCUCAACUGUAAAAUUGCCUUUGAUACUGGUUAUCUUGAGUUAUUGUGAAGUAGUUAGAAUAUGUAGUGUAGCGGUGAAAUGCAUAGAUAUUACAUAGAAUACCAAUUGCGAAGGCAGAUUACUAAUAAUAUACUGACACUGAUGGACGAAAGCGUGGGGAGCGAACAGGAUUAGAUACCCUGGUAGUCC
This 229-nucleotide ribosomal RNA is filed under the name uncultured bacterium. RNAcentral describes it as "partial 16S ribosomal RNA". It matches the Rfam family "Bacterial small subunit ribosomal RNA", at positions 568 to 796 of the family's 1533-position model. The record is from RNAcentral.